CUACGGGAGCCGGACCUCUCCUCUGACUUUAAUUGCAGGGAGACUUCGCCCGGACUCUUAUGGGAGCCGGGCUUCAUCCUCGACGCCAACAACUGCAGCCGCAAGCAGACUCCGCCCGGACUCCUACGGGAGCCGGGCUCUGCCGCCGACAUCGACUAUAGGAUAGCUCCGUCUGGACUCCUACGGAGUCGGGCUCCGUCCUCAGCGUCAACUGCUGGUAAGCCCCGUCCGGACUCCUACGGGAGCCGGACUUCGCCUCUAACCUUGACUGCAGGGCAGCUCCAUCUGGACUCCUACGGAGCCGGGCUCCGUCCUCAGCAUCAACUGCUGGUAAGCCCUGUCCGGACUCCUACGGGAGCCGGACUUCGCCUCUAACCUUGACUGCAGGA
RNAcentral lists this long non-coding RNA (389 nucleotides) under Elaeis guineensis (African oil palm). Its description in RNAcentral is "long non-coding RNA (EGUI_LNC074567)". Lineage: Eukaryota; Viridiplantae; Streptophyta; Magnoliopsida; Arecales; Arecaceae. The record is from RNAcentral.